RNAcentral lists this ribosomal RNA (253 nucleotides) under uncultured bacterium. RNAcentral's name for it is "partial 16S ribosomal RNA". It matches the Rfam family "Bacterial small subunit ribosomal RNA", at positions 524 to 776 of the family's 1533-position model. The record is from RNAcentral.
UACAGAGGGUGCGAGCGUUGUCCGGAAUCACUGGGCGUAAAGGGCGCGUAGGUGGCGCGACAAGUCAGUGGUGAAAGCUCGACGCUUAACGUCGAGUCGGCCACUGAUACUGUUGGGCUUGAGCACUGUAGAGGCAGAUGGAAUUCCGGGUGUAGCGGUGGAAUGCGUAGAGAUCCGGAAGAACACCGGUGGCGAAAGCGCUCUGCUAGGCCGCAACUGACACUGAGGGACGAAAGCUAGGGGAGCGAAUGGG